UUUCCGAAGGGGCAUAACCUGUUUGAGUAUCAUGAACACCUCAACUCCUCAUGGUUUGCCGUGACGAGCUUGGACUUUGGAGGUCUUUGCUGGCCUGUGAUCAGCUCCUCUCAAAUGAAUCAGCUUGCCAGUGUUUGGUGGCAUCGCAGGUGUGAUAACUAUCUACGCUUGUGGUGUUCUGCCAGAUAACCUUCAGCAACGGAGGUUCACUGGAGCUCACAAAUGUCUCUCCUCAGUGGGGACAGCUCUCUGAAUGUUUGAUCUCAAAUCAGGUAGGACUACCCGCUGAACUUAAGCAUAUCAAUAAGCGGAGG
Molecule: ribosomal RNA, 314 nt
Filed under: uncultured Tomentella
Lineage: Eukaryota; Fungi; Basidiomycota; Agaricomycetes; Thelephorales; Thelephoraceae
Description: eukaryotic LSU rRNA
Rfam family: Eukaryotic large subunit ribosomal RNA (bases 259-314)
Source: RNAcentral